Molecule: transfer RNA, 68 nt
Filed under: Ictidomys tridecemlineatus (thirteen-lined ground squirrel)
Lineage: Eukaryota; Metazoa; Chordata; Mammalia; Rodentia; Sciuridae
Also listed under: 1 other name
Description: Spermophilus tridecemlineatus (thirteen-lined ground squirrel) tRNA
Rfam family: tRNA
About the family: Transfer RNA (tRNA) molecules are approximately 80 nucleotides in length. Their secondary structure includes four short double-helical elements and three loops (D, anti-codon, and T loops).
Source: Rfam by way of RNAcentral
CAGUGUGGUUCAGUGGUUAGAGCACUUGCCUAGUAUGCAUGAGGCCCUGAGUUUCAUCCCUAGCACUG